CCUACGGGGGACAGCAGUGAGGAAUAUUGGUCAAUGGUCGGGAGACUGAACCAGCCAAGCCGCGUGAGGGAUGAAGGUACAGCGUAUCGUAAACCUCUUUUGUCAGGGAACAAAGGCGGGGACGUGUCCCCGGAUGAGUGUACCUGACGAACAAGCAUCGGCUAACUCCGUGCCAGCAGCCGGGGUAAUACGGAGGAUGCGAGCGUUAUCCGGAUUUAUGGGGUUUAAAGGGUGCGCAGGCGGUCUGUUAAGUCAGCGGUCAAAGCCCGGGGCACAACCCCGGCCCGCCGUUGAAACUGGCAGUCUCGAGUUGGAGAGAAGUAUGCGGAAUGCGCGGUGUAGCGGUGAAAUGCAUAGAUAUCGCGCAGAACUCCGAUUGCGAAGGCAGCAUGCCGGAUCCACACUGACGCUGAGGCACGAAAGCGUGGGUAUCGAACAGGAUUAGAUACCCUUGUAGUC
Molecule: ribosomal RNA, 459 nt
Filed under: uncultured bacterium
Lineage: Bacteria
Description: partial 16S ribosomal RNA
Rfam family: Bacterial small subunit ribosomal RNA
Source: RNAcentral